RNAcentral lists this unclassified non-coding RNA (168 nucleotides) under uncultured Hypocreales. RNAcentral describes it as "sequence contains ITS1". The record is from RNAcentral. Lineage: Eukaryota; Fungi; Ascomycota; Sordariomycetes; Hypocreales.
CCGAGUUUACAACUCCCAAACCCAAUGUGAACAUACCUCUUAUGUUGCCUCGGCGGGACCGCCCCGGCGCCCUUCACACGGCCCGGAACCAGGCGCCCGCCGCAGGGACCCAAACCUCUUGUUUUUUUGUUAGAUUUCUCCUCUGAGUGGAUUUUUACAAAUAAAUCA